AUCAAAGUGACUUUCCUGAUAGUGAAUCUAUAACAUGACCUUCCUAAUUUUUUUACAUCAUUAAAGUUAAGCAUUGUACAACUACACAUAUGAAGACUAUUAUAAUAAAGGGAAAGAUAAAUCCUCAUUUCGUCAUGAACACAAUGAUCCUGAUGGAGACCAGACAAAACAGUACAAAGAGCAACUGGUGCUCAUGGCUUCCCAGAAGAGAAGAGUGAUCCAUGUCGGAAAGGAUAAAAGGACUUUGUUUUGCUAAUAAAAAUGUACAAAAAUAAGAGAAAUGAUGUGGACUUCAUAGAAAACAUUAAGAGUGAAUUCGCUGGAUGAGGUACAGAUCACAGUGUGUGUGCUGACAAAAUUUGACAUGUGAGCUUACAUAGUGGGGCCAGAUGAAGGACUGGUGAAUCCACCAAAGUAAACGAGACUCCGCAGGCCAUUUUGUAGCUGGGCAGCCAGCAGACUUCUUCAGAGAUGCCAGAGCUCCUUGUACCUCCCAUUCAAACCUCAA
Molecule: long non-coding RNA, 508 nt
Organism: Galeopterus variegatus (Sunda flying lemur)
Lineage: Eukaryota; Metazoa; Chordata; Mammalia; Dermoptera; Cynocephalidae
Exons: 3
Source: RefSeq, a predicted model, not a curated record